This 604-nucleotide long non-coding RNA is filed under the name Numida meleagris (helmeted guineafowl). RNAcentral describes it as "lncRNA (ENSNMEG00000014935.1)". The record is from RNAcentral. Lineage: Eukaryota; Metazoa; Chordata; Aves; Galliformes; Numididae.
CUGAUAGUAAGAAAAUCAACAAUACUAUGUCUAUUGCAUUUGCAAAUGCUGCAAGAAUAAAAGCUGAACAAAAGAAAAAGAAAAUACAAUUCCUCUUCCUGUAAUAAGCCUCUUCUUAUUUGCAUUCCUUACCUGCCUGGCUCAUCCUUAAAUACUUCAUUUGGGGCUUGACAGAAGACUGGUGUGGAGCACCAGCUGCAGCCCAUAAACUUAAGUAAGAUGUAAGCCGGCUCCUGCCCAGGAGGGCGUUUCACCAACAGUUAAUACUUUACAGUUUAACUUUGCUAUUGUGUCAGUUACCACUCUUUUGUUGGAGUAUGCAGUGGACAACCUUUGAGUCUUGGGAAGUCUGGCCUUUGGUCUGCCGCUGCAGAUUUUCUUCACUGUUAGGAAUAAGCAGUUCCUGAGACACAAGUGCCUGAGGUAGGACUUCUCUUCUUGUUUUAAAAGAAACAAAAGCAGAUUUGGCAACAGAGCUUCUUUAAAAAAAAAAACUUUGAAACAAAUUUGGAUCUCUAAAACAAAACAAAAGCUAGAGAUCUUCCUAAAAGUCAGCUUAUUACUGCAUUUUUAUUGUUUGUUCUUACUUGCUCUUUGUACGGGA